RNAcentral lists this long non-coding RNA (7361 nucleotides) under Triticum aestivum (bread wheat). RNAcentral's name for it is "long non-coding RNA (TAES_LNC004406)". Lineage: Eukaryota; Viridiplantae; Streptophyta; Magnoliopsida; Poales; Poaceae. The record is from RNAcentral.
UGCAAAAAAGGCUUAAAGGUCAAAGGCUAGGCAAUGUGGGACUAAACAUAGAUGAAAAGAAAAGAAACAGAGAAUAAAAGAGGCGCCUCACAUGGGCCUAAAGGCCUUCGGCCGGCCGCGCGCGCCUAAGCUGCGGCUGCAUUUUUUUAUUCGGUCAACAGAAAAAAAAUCAUUUGUAAAAAAGAGUCUGGGGAAAUAAUAUGGCCGGUUGGGCCUGGCCCAUAUAGGAAAAAAAAGAUGGGGCGCCCGCUAGUACUAUGAUGUGCACCUGGGCGGCAGUUAGUGAUGGGCCACAUGUACAGUUUUUGUUAUUUGUUUUUAAAUAGAAACAGAAGGAAAACCGAAUAAAGAACAAAUAAAAUAAAAUAUUUAUAUAGGCAUAUUAUAUAUUAAAAUUUUCAGAAAAAGAUUUUCUACGACAUGAACAUUUUUAUAGCGUCAAAUAAAAUAUAUAAAAAUUCAGAUAAAGCAAAGAGUGCUGCUGCUGCAAUGAAACCUCAUAAAAAUCAUUUUAAAAAUACCAAAAUGAUUUCAAAUUAAUUUUUCUCCAAUUUUCUAUUGCAGGGAAUCAUGUUACCCUAUUUUCCAUAUAUUUUUAUUUUGGAGAAAAAUAAUUUGAAUAAAACCCAAAUACUCCAAAUUGAAAAUAAUUUCCAAAAGGACUUUAAAUUAGAUCCUUUUAAACUUCCAGCUCAUAUUUCAUAUGUUUUGAAGAAGUCAUUUUAUCUUCUCUCAUGAAAAUCAUUGAGUUGCUUGAAGUUUCUGAAUUUGAAAUAUUUCCAAGUGAAAUUCAAAUAUUUUCAAAAACCCUUUUCAUUUAUUUAUAAUGGAAGAAGUCAUGUCAUCUUCUCUCUAGGGUUUUGUAUUUGAAAAGAAUUUGAAUUCACGGAGAUCAUAAAAGCAAAAUGAAAGUUUGCGAAAGUCCUUUUAUUCCCUCUCAUUUAACUUUCAAAAGAUUUCGAAUUCACUCACUUUCAGUCAAUCAAUCAAACAAUCAAUCCAAUCUAUCUGUUUAUUUUAACACUCCAAAAUUUAGAAUUUUGGGAUGUUACAAACCUACCACCCUUAAAAUGAAUCUCGUCCUCGAGAUUCGGAGAGGCUAGCAAGUAAUAGGUUAGGUUUGGGGUCUUCUCAAAAUCCAUCGAUCAUCACAAGGGGGUCUGGGGUGCUACCACCCUUAGAAGCAUUGUUACUGUUCCAUCAAAACUCAUAUACUCCAUCCUUAUCUUUGACGGUGUCAGUCUUCUCAAAUUCUUGGAAAAUUCCUUCUCUGGGCUAUUCCGGUAGUGGCAUAACCUUUUUCCUCAAUUCUUUUGUAUCCUUUCGUCUUGGUAUGGUUAUUCCGAGACUGGGUCUUCUUAGCUGACGGGUCUGGCGCCAAUGCUAAACAACUUUCGAUAUCUCAUGGUGGUCAAAAAUUUAUGGUUUCUCCUGCAGGAAAUGGGUAUGGUUGAUCCUCACCGUAUAACCUACGAUUGGCAACAACUGCCGUGUACAAGGGAAACAUUCUUAUACCAUUCUAAGGUUCAAACAAGGUUUAAUACUGUCGUCUCUCUACUAUAGGUAAGUCACUCAGAUUUACCAUCCCGUAUAGCAAGGUGAACAAUAAGAGUAAGUCGGUAUGGUGAUUAAUCCAUCCCGCACCCAAAUCAUUUCCCUGUAUAUGGAUUAGUGAAUCUCGCAUUCUAACACUCGGUCAUCCUCACAAGCAUUGCAGAAUUUUCUCUUAUCGACGAACCAGGUUCGGAUAAAUCCAUGGAUUCUGCAAGCCAAACAAACAUCUAUCGUUCCUUCACAACUCUCAGGUUUUGCGUAAACUCCUAUAAAAUCGUCGGUUGAUACAGGUAUAUCCUCUUCCAGGGUUUUCCUUCAGUAAGAGUGUGCUUGCUUCUUGGCAGGUCCUGGAGCCUGUGGGUUAUGGCCCAUCUCAUCACUGGUAAACCUUGAACUCAUCAUCGGGGAAACUGAUCCUUAAUCCAACAUCCAACUUCCUAGUAUUCUUAAAUCCAUCCAAUUGUACUGUCUUCCUUCCUUCUAUUGGCACCAAACUAGGACAUGAUUUUAUGGAAUUUCCAUUGAUCCAUAUUUCCAACAUCAUACCUCCUUUAUAUCCAAUAGUAAUUCAUCUCUUCAUCCUCGGGGGAUAUCCCACAUACCGAGAUAAAAAAACUUAUACUUAUGAAGUCCAUACUCCACUUCGUGGAACAUCAUUAUCCUUUCCAGGGUCAAGCGUCCUUACAGGGGAAUAUUGGCCAUGUCUGCAUGGCACUUCUUCAACUGGGAAACAUGAAACACAUCAUGAACUCCUGACAGUCCUUCGGGUGACUCCAACUUGUUGGCCAGUUCUCCCAUACGCUCCAAAACUCGGUAUGGUCCUACAAAUCUCGGGGCUAACUUUCCCUUAACUCCAAAUCGUUUAAUUCCUCGCAGAGGGGACACACGAAGACAUGCUCUGUCUCCAAUUUCAUAGACUACCUCCUUGCGUUUUUUAGUCUGCAUAACUCUUCUGCCUAGACUGAGCUACCUUCAGUCUAUCUCGAAUCAACUUAACAUUCUCUUCUGACUCCUUGAUCACAUUUGGUCCAAACAACUUACGGUCUCUAACUUCAUCCCACAUCAAUGGUGUCUGGCUCCUUUUCCCAUACAAAGCUUCAAAAGGGGCCAUCUUCAAACUGGCUUGGUAACUGUUGUUGUAUGAGAACUCCGCGUAAGGUAGCUUAUCAUCCCUACUAGAUCCAUAAUCUAGCGCACACGCUCUCAACAUGUCCUCCAGAGUCUGAUUGACUCCCUCGGUCUAUCCAUCUGUCUGCAGAUGAAAGGCUGUACUGAACUCUAGCCUAGUACCCAAAGUCUGGUGCAACUGAUUCCAAAACUUUGAGGUAAACUGUGUUCCUCUAUCUGAUACGAUGGUCCUCGGAACUCCAUGCAGACAUACGAUCCUGGUCAUAUAUAUCUUGGCCAACUUCGUACUUGUAUAGGUGGUUUUUACUGGGAUAAAGUGAGCCACUUUGGUCAAGCGAAUCAAUUACUAUCUAGAUAGAAUCAUAUCCCGUUCGGGUUCUGGGAAAUCCGAUAAUGAAAUCCAUGCUAAGCUUAUCCUACUUCCAUUCGGGUAUCGGCAUAGGUUGUAGUAACCCUGCUGGCUUCUGAUGCUCUGCUUUUACUCUCUCUAGCAUACAUCACCUACGGCUACAUACUCCGCAAUAUCCUUCUUCAUACCAGUCCACCAGAAACGCUCCUUCAAAUCCAAAUACAUCUUGGUGUUUCCAGGGCGAAUCGAGUAUGGUGAGUCAUGAGCCUCCUGAAGUAUUAACUUCCUGAUCUUUGCAUUAUUGGGCACAUAUACACGGUCCUCGAACCAUAAGGUGUCGUGCUCAUCCUUACGAAAACAUUUGGCCUUUCCUUUGCUCAUCCUCUCUUUUACCUCAGCAAUCUCUUUGUCAUUCUUCUGAGCUUCACGGAUCUUUCCCAACAAUGUAGACUGAACUUCCAUUGCUGCAACAAAACCUUUGGGAACAAUCUCCAACCGAAGUUCCUUGAGAUCCUCUGCUAACUCCUUUGCUAAUCCUCCGCUUAUGAGGGUAUUCGUCCUUGUUUUCUUUAUGGUUGUGUCCUAUUUAUCCACAAAGAUUGUAUGCACAAGGUUUCUUCAUAUCCUUUCCAUAAGGCCUCAACUUUUGGGACACAAGCCAAGACUUUAACAAAGUCCACUUAAAUUCCUUCCAAGUGGUUACUCCUUGCCAUCCGUUGAUGGUUUGGUACAUCCUCCACCAAGUAGCAACACCUCUUUCAAAACACUGAAGAGCAUGUUGGGCCAUAUCUUUUCCGACUAUAGGGUUAUUCUCCAUAUGAUCCUCCAUGUUCUGAAUCGAUCGGUCCGUCUCCAAUUGACUCAUCGGUCCAGAAAAUAUGAGUUCAUCUCCAUUCAUCCUCUAUUGGGUCCAUGGGUUUGGGGUGAGAUAAGAGAGAUAGAGAGAGAUGCACACAAUACAAACAAAAGUUUUGAAAAGACAGAUUUUUAUUUUGUGGCUGUCGGAAAACAACAAACAAAUGACAGCUCACAAUCGUCGCAUCUAACGUAGGUAUAUAACAGGGGUUUGGUCUUCUAAGGGUCAAUAAAUUUUCAACGUCGCUGAACUCUUCAAGUCUUGUUCAUGUCUCCAAUGGCUUCUUCAGAUCAUGCUUGUCCUUCGCAAGUUCUUUUGCCAGAUCACCUCUGUUGACGUGAAGACUCGAGUGUUGUCCUUUAAUAUUUCUGGAGUUGCGUUCCACACUUCUGGGUUUCAACAUCCUUGACAUGAACCAUGAUCCUACUGUCCUUCAGUUCCUGACGAAUCUUUGAUGUCUCAAGGUUUUGCUCCUCUAGCUUGGCUACUUUCAGCUUCUGGGUCCUGAGUUCUUCACGAAACGCUUCCUUAUCAAAUACUAUUUCCUGCAGGUCCAUCUUAACUUCUUGAUGUAAUACUCCAGAUCCUGGUGAUACACCGGUCUAAAGUUAAAACUUCAUCUUGCUGAUAGGUGCUCCAUCAGCCUUCUACCAUCCAAUCCUUCCAUGCAUCUGCAUGCUUAACUCCGCACGGUGACAAUAGCAUAAACGGGUAAUAACACCAUGGUCAGCCGUGUCUAUGCCCAUGUUACUGCCAUGAGCUUUCAUUCCAUAACUGAUAUCUCCUGUCUCUAGGUUUUCUUAACAAAAACUUUGAGUUCUAAUGCUCCAUGUUCCGGUCUUUCUCCGAUACACCUUGGUCUCCGGUAUUGACGGCUUCCAUAGUCUGCCAAGUUCCAUAAGGGUAGCCUUCCUAUACCAAUCUGGAAAUUCUUCGGAGCCUUCAAAUUCUCCUAGUCUUCAGAGUCUUUAACCAUUGUAGUUCCAAUUAUAACAAUGCUCGAUAAAAUCCUCUUCAUUCCGAAGUGGUCUUAGUUGUCCAAUAUCUUGUACUUCUUGGAGUGGUCUCAUCAAUCGAAUCUUCGAGUGGUCAAAAGGGAAAAGGGUAUGGUCUCACUAAAAGGGAAUAUUUGAAUAAGCUCAGAAGAGAAACGAGGUAAAAGAUCCUUUUGAAAAGAAAGUUGUAGAGAAAAAAAUUCUUUUCCUAUGGGCUUGCCAGUUUUUAGGGUCAUGUCCUACAGUCAACAUGUGCUCUGAUACCAUCUUGUAGCGACCCAACCCGAAUGGAUCAAGUCUCUAUGCUUAAGUGUCAUCCCUGGAUCGGUAUGCUGACACACACAGUACUCGAGGAUUUAUAACAGAGGUAAAUCACAUGUAUAAAGUAAUGUAAAUACUAUUACCUCAAUCCAAAUAGCGGAAGUAACAAGGUUGUGGAUUCCCAUCAACACCAACGACAAAGUUGAGUGUAGAAAUCGUAACCCUAACGUAUUACUUACUCGUCGUAAGAAUCCUGCAACAUGAGACGUUGCAGCCACAAAGGGUCAGUACAUUGAAUGUACUGGCAAAUUCACACUGUAGAGCAAUGCUGAAAUAUGGCUAUCACUACAUGCAUAUUUGGCUGGUGGAAAAGCUCUAUGGUUAUCAAGUUUUUGCGAAAAGCCAAUUUUUCCCUAUUGCAAAGGAAUAAAUCUUAUUUGACUCUCAUGGUGGUUGUUAAACAUUAAGAUGGUUGACAGCAUCUCAAUCCCAAUUAAGUAUCAUCAUUAACCCAACAAGAUUAAUUAAAGUAACAUGAUGAGAUUCACAUGAUAAUCCAAGUACUAGAUACUCAAGUUGUCCAUAACCGGGGACACGGCUAAUCAUGAUUAGUUUGUACACUCUGCAGAGCUUUAUGCACUUUUCCCCACAAGACUCGAUCUCCUCCGUUGGAUUUCUCGCACUACAUGGUGUUUGAGAAACGGAUGACCGAGACACAGUCUUUCAGAAGCGUUAGCACCUUAUGAUGCGUAGACCGUACCACCUACACCCCCUACAUCUGCUAGUCUACCACUGUAAGAGUUCACACGACUUAAUCAACUAUGCUAGAGCCCAUAAUAGCUUGUGGCUGCACACGGAAGUUUUUAGUAUGAAUAAUCUUAUGAUCCCUUUGAGCCUGGGUGGCGGUCCAAAAGAAAAACAGGCAAUCCUGGAAUACCCAGGUACCUCAAUCCACCCAGAUGUGUGUUUUAGUUGCCACCUUAAGGUUAACCAUUAAUUAACAAUCUCACAUCUGUCAUGGUAACACUCAAACCCAAUCCACGUCUACUAGCAUAGCAUAACAAUAUAAGGAAACGUAGAAGUACCUCCCAAGGGUUUGAUAAUAAACAGGGCAAUAGGUACUACCUCAUCUACUUCCCAGAACCCACAAUUUAAUUAGAUCCUAAUCAUGCAAUGUUUGAGGGUUGAUCUAAUGCAAUAAAACUGGGUAGUCAAAGAGGUAUGAUCAAAGUGUGAACUUGCCUGCAAUGUUGAUGAAGAUGAUUUGCACUCAUAACUCUUGAUAGUUCUACUCGUCACACUCUGAUCAAUCUAUCGUGAGCAAGCAAUAGUAACGACACAUAAGCAAUCACUCAAAAGAAUCGAAGAAAAGAUCACGGAAAACUUCGAAAACAAGCAAAUAACUCUUGCAAUAUAAAACAGUUUUAAUAGUACCAAAGUUAGGUGGAUUUGGCCUUAUCAGAAAGUUUAGGUCGUGAGCUUCGCUUUGCAAAAAGAAUCAACUCAAACGGAGUUACGGAACUUAAGUUAUGAACAAAAAAAUUUGAAUAUGAAUCUGAACAAAAUUCGAAAUUUGAAAAUUUCAAAAAGUUGAUGUGACAGGUUAACUAGAUAGGUGAUAACAAGACGAAACUACAAUCGUUGGUUUCAUCUAAUUUGGAUGAACGAGUGAAAAGUUAUGGUUAUUUGAAAAAUCAGGGCCAAGCUGUUUUACGGAAGAAAAAUAGUUACGGCUAAGGUCUAUGUAUAAAUAUGUAGACUAAUUAAUAAUCUAAUUAUUCUAUCAUAUUAGUCUAAAAUAAUAAACUAUGGAAAUAUAAAAAGAGAAAAAAAAGUUACCUUUACAAGGCAUAGAAAAGAUGACUUCGAAGAGAGGAGACAAUUCUCAAAAGUCGCGCCGGAGAGGAGAAAAAUAUUUUUAUUUAAGGAAUCUAGUCAAACCAAAAUAUUGAUUUAACCCGAGUCGGAUGAUUUUUGGAGGCUCUAUUGGUCUAUAUUUAUUGGUGCAAAAAAGGCUUAAAGGUCAAAGGCUGGGCAAUGUGGGACUAAACAUAGAUGAAAAGAAAAGAAACAAAGAAGAAAAGAGGCGCCUCGCAUGGGCCUAAAGGCCUUCGCCCGGCCGCGCGCGCGUAAGCUGCGGCUGCAGUUUUUUUAUUCGGUUAACAGAAAAAAAAAUCAUCUGUAAAAAAGAAGUCUAGGGAAAUAAUAUGGCCGGUUG